AUUGAACGCUGGCGGCAGGCCUAACACAUGCCAGUCGAACGGUAACAGGAAGAAGCUUGCUUCUUUGCUGACGAGUGGCGGACGGGUGAGUAAUGUCUGGGAAACUGCCUGAUGGAAGGGGAUAACUACUGGAAACGGUAGCUAAUACCGCAUAACGUCGCAAGACCAAAGAGGGGGACCUUCGGGCCUCUUGCCAUCGGAUGUGCCCAGAUGGGAUUAGCUAGUAGGUGGGGUAACGGCUCACCUAGGCGACGAUCCCUAGCUGGUCUGAGAGGAUGACCAGCCACACUGGAACUGAGACACGGUCCAGGCUCCUACGGGAGGCAGCAGUGGGGAAUAUUGCACAAUGGGCGCAAGCCUGAUGCAGCCAUGCCGCGUGUAUGAAGAAGGCCUUCGGGUUGUAAAGUACUUUCAGCGGGGAGGAAGGGAGUAAAGUUAAUACCUUUACUCAUUGACGUUACCCGCAGAAGAAGCACCGGCUAACUCCGUG
This 490-nucleotide ribosomal RNA is filed under the name uncultured bacterium. RNAcentral describes it as "partial 16S ribosomal RNA". It matches the Rfam family "Bacterial small subunit ribosomal RNA", at positions 30 to 507 of the family's 1533-position model. The record is from RNAcentral.